UACGUAGGGGGCAAGCGUUGUUCGGAAUUACUGGGCGUAAAGGGCGCGUAGGCGGCAUGGCAAGUCAGGAGUGAAAGGCCUGGGCUCAACCGAGGAACUGCUUUUGAUACUGCCAAGCUAGAGUGCGGAAGGGGCAACUGGAAUUCCCAGUGUAGCGGUGAAAUGCGUAGAUAUCUGGAGGAACACCGGUGGCGAAGGCGGCAUCCUGGACCGAUACGGACGCUGAGGAGCGAAAGCCAGGGGAGCAAACGGG
Molecule: ribosomal RNA, 253 nt
Filed under: uncultured bacterium
Lineage: Bacteria
Description: partial 16S ribosomal RNA
Rfam family: Bacterial small subunit ribosomal RNA
Source: RNAcentral